RNAcentral lists this transfer RNA (66 nucleotides) under mouse gut metagenome. It matches the Rfam family "tRNA". Rfam says of the family: Transfer RNA (tRNA) molecules are approximately 80 nucleotides in length. Their secondary structure includes four short double-helical elements and three loops (D, anti-codon, and T loops). The record is from RNAcentral. RNAcentral also lists the same sequence under 2 other names.
GGUUUAGCUCAGUUGGUAGAGCAUCGGUCUCCAAAACCGAGUGUCGGGAGUUCGAGUCUCUCAACC